RNAcentral lists this unclassified non-coding RNA (2501 nucleotides) under Trichogramma pretiosum. RNAcentral's name for it is "venom acid phosphatase Acph-1-like, transcript variant X4". Lineage: Eukaryota; Metazoa; Arthropoda; Insecta; Hymenoptera; Trichogrammatidae. The record is from RNAcentral.
UAAACCCCCAAAACUGAAACUUCUCGGUCCAUUUCCUUUUUGACUGAAUUUUUCGUCUGGAAUUUUAUUAAACUUUUUUGAUAUUUUGUUUUUUCUUUACUGAAUUGUUAACUUGUUUAAAUUUAAAUUUUGUUGAACGAUUUUGUUAAAGUUUGAACGCCUGUUCUUAAAUAGCUGUUAAUUGAUUUUUAAUUUUUCAUUUAACUAUUUUUUAAUUCACAACUUAUAGUAUUUUAAUACUUAAAAAGUUCGAAUGUUAAGCAAAUUUAUCGCCUUUUUCGAUACCAAAAAUCUGCAAUUAAAUUUUUGAUUAUUCUGCAGAAUGCAAAAACUUUUCCAGGUCCGUUUAUUUCCUCGAUUUAAAAAAAUAUACUUUUUUUUUAAACUAUUAAAUAGUAAACGCUUGUAAAGGCAUACAACUAUUAUGCGUAUGAUUGGCCAAUUAAAGAUGAUGAACAAUAAUGUAUUCUACUUUAUAGUUGGCCGCAAAAGUAUACAUUGGAAUAAAGUUCAUCACGUGUUUGCAAUAUUGACAUUAAUUUAAUCAUAAUUUACUUUGAAUAUAUCUUAUAUUUUUGCAAAGCAUCUUAAAAAAUCAACAGAUGGAUAAAUUAUCGUUUUAUCUUCAUUAGUAUAAGUUUAUGAUUCGUCUUUUAUGAUUAGGAUUUCCAUUUUCACGAAGUAUUAUAAGUAUAGUUAUGUAAUUCAUUACAAAGAUUCCAACGUAAAAGAACGAUGUUUGCAGAUCAGAUUAAAAAUCGAGGUGUGAAUUGUGACACGUCAGUUGUAUAUUUAGUUAUGAUAAUAAUAUAAACGUGAACAUUUUGUAUUAUAAUGCAUCGCCGAAAGUGCAGUUAACUUCGUUCCAAAUUAUUUUAUAAAUCAAAAGUUAUCAUUUUAGAACUGCGUAAAAUCAUUUUAGCUUUAAAAAUUUAGCUAAUAAAUAAAUUAUCAUGAAAUCCGCCACUAUAGCUAUACAGAUAUAUCUUCAAUUCCAAUUGUUCCAUUUAAUAUCAAUGAAAGCACUGCCAUCAGCUUCUCAAUUUUCUUCGGAUAAUUCAUCAGUCCAGACUCUACGACAAGUUAAUGUGGUAAUUCGUCACGGACAAAGAAGUCCUCAAACUACUUAUCCCAAUGAUCCCUAUAAAAAUGAUCCCAUGGAACCGUAUGGUUGGGGUCAAUUAACAAAAGAAGGAAGACUUAGUCAAUAUCAGCAAGGGUUAUUUUUACGAAGCAGAUAUGGAACAUUUUUGGGUAGUAAAUAUAGUCCAGAAAUAUUUUGGUUACAAAGUACGGACGUGGAUCGUGCAAAAAGUUCUGCUUUAUUAGAAGCUGCCGCUUUGUGGAUGCCUGAUGGAAAUCAAUCUUUUUCAAGGGAACUUGCAUGGCAACCGAUAUCUUUAAAUUAUCAAACAAGUCAAAACGAUACCCUUCUUUUGAUUCGAUCAUCUUGUCCAGAUUACUCAAGGAUGCGAGAUGCUAUAUUAAAGUCAGAUAAUAUCAGUAAAAUUAAUGAUAUAAAUUUUAAUUUGUACCAAAAGCUUACGAAAAAUUCUGGUCAAGAGAUAACUAACCCAGACGAUGUAUUUGACUUAUAUUCCACACUUAUAGCAGAGCAAACAAUGAAUUUACUUCUUCCAAAUUGGACAGCAGAUCUUUUUACAGAAAUGGAGCAUUUAAGUAGUUUAAGCCUUAAAAUUAACGUUUACAAUGAAACUUUAUUGAAAAUGAAAGCAGGACCUCUCAUCACCGAAAUUACUAAUAAUAUGCUCAAAAAAAGUAAAAGUAUUUUGGUACCAGAACGUCGAAAAAUGUUCAUGUAUGUAGGUCAUGAUUCAACCAUCGCCAGCUUACUUGAAGGUUUGAAAGUAUGGAAUAUGCAAGUGCCGGGUUAUAAUGACAUGGUCAUUACAGAGCUUCAUGAAGAUAAAAGUGGAUUUUAUGUAAAGGUAUAUCUGAGAAAUUGCACCCAAAGUGAUCCGUACUCAUUAAAAAUUCCUGGCUGUAAUAUUGAGUGUCCAAUAAACCAAUUUAUUGAUAUAAUAAACCAAUUGAAAAUACAAAGGAUCUUGGUUGAAUUCUACUUAGUUUGGUGUCCAACGCCGUAAUUUCGAGAAGCAGUCCCCUCAAACUUUACGACAGCAUCGAUUAGUAGAUCUCCUUUAACGAUGUCCUUAUUUUAUGUGAAGUUGCAAAGACGCAGACCUAUAUCUGUCAGAUAUUAAAAUCGGAGAGUUAUAGCAAGAUAUUGAAGGCAUGUCAGGUUUACGUGUCACGCUCUGUAAUUGAUUAGUGGACGCACUAACUCAUACCGAAAAUCAUUCCUUGGGUUGAGAGGAAAUUAGGAGAAGUGGACUGACACCUUACAGAGUUCCUGAUCGGUCACGGUUGCUGUAGUCGAAUCAAUGACAUCAACGGCUCAUGCCUGGCCUACUCUCGUGCAGAGGAAGACUUUAAACGUCACGGACUUCGAUUCAAGUAAGGAAGAGUAAAGCUCCAUC